RNAcentral lists this long non-coding RNA (1414 nucleotides) under Phaseolus vulgaris (common bean). RNAcentral's name for it is "long non-coding RNA (PVUL_LNC002947)". Lineage: Eukaryota; Viridiplantae; Streptophyta; Magnoliopsida; Fabales; Fabaceae. The record is from RNAcentral.
UUGGUGAUAUCACGUGAGGGAUUAAUAUAAUUUUGGAUUUUUGUUGUAAUUUUUUUAAUUAAGAGAUUGAAUUUUCAUAUUGGAAGAUAAAAAAAAACUAUAAAAUGAAUCAGUAUUCUUCUCAUGCAUAUAAAAGAAAAUUAUUUUUUUUGAAUGUGAGAAUUUCAUGGAGUUCUGAAUAACUUAAAUAUGGUAUUAUAAGAAUAAUUUGUGACGAUUAAUAUCACUCAAUUUCUCACUUUUUCUAGUGUUUGAUCAAUAUCCUUCACCACAAAAAUGAUGUUACAAUACUGCUUACGAUUAUGUCAUUGACACUUCCCCACUUUCAUGUUCUCUAGUACCAUUAUGUCAUUGACACUUCUCCACUUUCAUGCUCUCUAGAGUUGUUUAUCUCCACCACCAUUCUAACAUCUUCCAUCUUCAUUGCUUUUGUAAACCCUAGACCACUAAAAACAUUUGUAAUUAUCUGCUAUAAUAAGUCAUAAAUAUCAAAGAAUUCGGAUGGAUGACUAUAUAAAUUUUUAAUCCAACAUUCGUUGUCAUCAAUAACAAUUAUGAAUAAUAUGAUAAUCUUUACUAAUGAAUGACUUGUAAAACAUAUAAUCAAUUUAAAAGUCCCCACCUAAGAGAGAUAUAUAAAGACCUUACCCUUUAGAAAGUACAAUUUAUCUUAUUAUCUUAUUCUAUAUUCUUAACUCUUAUAAUGUUAAACACUUUAUUAUCAUUUUUGUAUUUCUCCUACCUUAAGCAUAAAAGAGUCUUUUUCAAGUAGAUCUUCCCUUUUUUUAAAAAUCAACUGAAAGUUAAUUUCCUAAAACAUCGAGUACUCGUCAAGACAGUUCCGAAUUCAUUUCCGGUAGAUGCUAAUCUUAAAAACAAUCUUUGUUGCAUCAUCCAAUGAAUGCUUAUCAACCACCACUUCAACUUUAGCGAUUAGGUUUGACUUUAUCUUCACCUCUAUUGUCAGCAAACGGUCAAACAUCAAACUUCCUGGAAACUUGCCUCUAACUACUCGGCCCCUUCAAUGCAUCGGAUAAUGGCUUAUGAACUCCAUCUCCCACCAAAUGUCGGGCACACAACAUUAGUUUUAGAACGACCAAAUGUAUGUUCACUUUCUACAUCACUUGCCAACAAAUGGAAAAUCUCUACUACUUUCAACAUCCAUUGCAUCUACCUUAAUCAUACAACCAAAGUAAAACUUUGAAAAUAAUUUAAGUAGAAGGUGUUUUUUCUAGUAAUGACAUCUUGAGCAUCUUCAGCCCUGUUCUCACACCUUCAACAUCUCUGCACCUUGAACAAUUAAACUAAAUGUUUUUGGUGAAACACUAAUAAUUAUACCUUGAGUUACACAAAAAAUAAAUACAAAAAUAUUUUAAGUAAAAUAUUAGAUGUAUGUUUCAAACUAUAUAGAAAU